RNAcentral lists this ribosomal RNA (254 nucleotides) under uncultured Caryophanaceae bacterium. RNAcentral's name for it is "uncultured Planococcaceae bacterium partial 16S ribosomal RNA". It matches the Rfam family "Bacterial small subunit ribosomal RNA", at positions 524 to 776 of the family's 1533-position model. Lineage: Bacteria; Bacillati; Bacillota; Bacilli; Caryophanales; Caryophanaceae. The record is from RNAcentral.
UACGUAGGUGGCAAGCGUUGUCCGGAAUUAUUGGGCGUAAAGCGCGCGCAGGUGGUUCCCUAAGUCUGAUGUGAAAGCCCACGGCUCAACCGUGGAGGGUCAUUGGAAACUGGGAGAACUUGAGUGCAGAAGAGGAUAGUGGAAUUCCAAGUGUAGCGGUGAAAUGCGUAGAGAUUUGGAGGAACACCAGUGGCGAAGGCGACUAUCUGGUCUGUAACUGACACUGAGGCGCGAAAGCGUGGGGAGCAAACAGG